GACGAACGCUGGCGGCGUGCUUAACACAUGCAAGUCGAACGGAAAGGCCCCUUUGGGGGUACUCGAGUGGCGAACGGGUGAGUAACACGUGAGUAGCCUGCCCUUGACUUCGGGAUAACUUCAGGAAACUGGGGCUAAUACCGGAUAGGAAUCCUUGCUGCAUGGUGGGGGUUGGAAAGCUUCGGCGGUUUUGGAUGGACUCGCGGCUUAUCAGCUUGUUGGUGGGGUAGUGGCUUACCAAGGCUUUGUCGGGUAGCCGGCCUGAGAGGGCGACCGGCCACAUUGGGACUGAGAUACGGCCCAGACUCCUACGGGAGGCAGCAGUGGGGAAUAUUGCACAAUGGGCGGAAGCCUGAUGCAGCAACGCCGCGUGCGGGAUGACGGCCUUCGGGUUGUAAACCGCUUUCAGCAGGGGCGAAGCUUGUGGUGACGGUACCUGCAGAAGAAGCACCGGCUAACUACGUG
This 465-nucleotide ribosomal RNA is filed under the name uncultured bacterium. Its description in RNAcentral is "partial 16S ribosomal RNA". It matches the Rfam family "Bacterial small subunit ribosomal RNA", at positions 28 to 507 of the family's 1533-position model. The record is from RNAcentral.